This is a ribosomal RNA of 248 nucleotides. It matches the Rfam family "Bacterial large subunit ribosomal RNA", at positions 1347 to 1588 of the family's 2925-position model.
AAGGUUUCCAGAGGAAGGCUCGUCCGCUCUGGGUUAGUCGGGUCCUAAGCUGAGGCCGACAGGCGUAGGCGAUGGAUAACAGGUUGAUAUUCCUGUACCACCUAACAUCGUUUUAAUCGAUGGGGGGACGCAGUAGGAUAGGCGAAGCGUGCUGUUGGAGUGCACGUCUAAGCAGUGAGAUUGAGUGUUAGGCAAAUCCGGCACUCUUAAGAUUGAGCUGUGAUGGGGAGAGGAAAUUGUUUCCUCGA